This 535-nucleotide long non-coding RNA is filed under the name Scleropages formosus (Asian bonytongue). RNAcentral describes it as "lncRNA (ENSSFOG00015032523.1)". Lineage: Eukaryota; Metazoa; Chordata; Actinopteri; Osteoglossiformes; Osteoglossidae. The record is from RNAcentral.
GACCGACCCAGAAUGCGAACAAACCAAGAAACCAACAAACAAACAAACACAAGUCGAAGGAGGAGGUCGGGGCUGCUGGAUGCUGCGCGUGAGGCAAAGGUGUGCCGGAGAGAGUGCGCGCGCGAGAAACAGGAGGGGGGGGUAGGCGGGGGGGUGCCUCCCCGCGUGACAGAGACUGUUACGCACUUCUUAUUCAGAGCGAGUGGCCAUUUCGCAGGGGCAAGUACUGUAAACACCUCCAUCACCUGGGCACGUACCUUGUAUAAUACAGCGCAUGUUUGUUUUGGAAAACACACAGCGCUUCGGUGCCUCAGGACGGGGAAAGACGCCAGCUCCCGCCGCAUCUCUACUUCAGCCAGCAAAGGAAGGAGCGGCGCCGGCAGGUGGAGUCCAAGUAGAAUAUCUGAAGAGGAGAGAAAAAGGUGAAAGACUUCAGAGUCAAAGAAAUGUCGCGGCGAAAACAGAGAGAAUGGCUGAUGAAGCGGCUAUCAUGGAGGACCUAAGCGUGCUGCACGUGUGAAUCAUGAGCGCAGAG